GGGUUUCGAACCGUCAGGGAUUAAUAGGGAAUGCCGUGUGAUCCGGCAACAGUUACCGCUGCUGUAUGUUCCUACUCGGAGAGGGGCUUGUCCGCCUUUUUUCGGAGUCAAAAAGUUUUAAAACGAUGCCACUGGUGUUGCUGUCGCCGGGAAGGCUUUAAAACAGGAACGAGUCAGAAGACCUGCCUUGCCAUAU
Molecule: non-coding RNA, 196 nt
Filed under: chicken gut metagenome
Source: RNAcentral